AAACCGGCCCUUUUCAGGGCCACUAAUUGUUUUUUCAUUGGAACU
Apis mellifera (honey bee) is the source of this 45-nucleotide non-coding RNA. The record is from Rfam. Lineage: Eukaryota; Metazoa; Arthropoda; Insecta; Hymenoptera; Apidae.